Long non-coding RNA from Vigna radiata var. radiata (mung bean), 260 nucleotides. RefSeq lists it as uncharacterized. The transcript is spliced from 3 exons. The record is from RefSeq and is a predicted model, not a curated record. NCBI's taxonomy places the organism in Eukaryota, Viridiplantae, Streptophyta, Magnoliopsida, Fabales, Fabaceae.
CGGCGUUUGGUGGAAAUGAAAAGUCCCGAACAGCAGCUUCGUUGUAGGAAGUUGACGGUGCGUCACUAUUUUUCAACCAUGUAUGUUUGCACGUUGAAGGUUUUCCCACCAGAAAUUUGUCCUCCAACACUUGCCCUUGUGAAGGAAACGCCAAAACUUGUCAUUCGACUUCUGAUGUGGGCAAAAAACAAUGUCGAUGUGGCAGCCAUCCUCCGCAAAUUUGUUCCGCCAACUAACGAAGCAUCAUCAUCAUCCAAACA